Molecule: ribosomal RNA, 398 nt
Filed under: uncultured Tulasnellaceae
Lineage: Eukaryota; Fungi; Basidiomycota; Agaricomycetes; Cantharellales; Tulasnellaceae
Description: eukaryotic LSU rRNA
Source: RNAcentral
CGCACCUUGCACCUUCCAGUCCUCUGGAAGGUAUGCCCGGUUGAGUAUUAUGAUCACCUCAAACCUAUGAUUUUCUUAUUGCAAAGACCAAUGCUCCGAUAGAAAGCACUCGUUUGGGGUGCUAGUAGGUGCUGCUUGGGUUUGGAAGAUCUUAGGUCUUGGACUUGAGCACUGUUCGGUUCCCUCUCUGGAUCAACUGGCUUAGAAAUGUAUUAGCUGGCGACCUGCCUUCAAUGGUUACCACUCGGCGUAGUAAGUUUUAUUCGUCGAGGACACCUUGUACCUUCAUCGGAACAGGUGGCCAUUGUGCUGUGUCUUGAUAGCCGCUUCUAAUCGUCUCCGGACAAUAUAACGAACUCUUUAAUCUCAACUCGGGUAGGACUACCCGCUGAACUUAA